Molecule: long non-coding RNA, 582 nt
Filed under: Struthio camelus australis
Lineage: Eukaryota; Metazoa; Chordata; Aves; Struthioniformes; Struthionidae
Description: lncRNA (ENSSCUG00000013246.1)
Source: RNAcentral
CACAGCACGUUAAGAAAAGUGAAUGUGAUCUGCUUCUCUGGAAGUAAAGCUUUCCCAAUCAGACGAAUGCUAGCAUUCAGUGAGGUUCUAAAAGAGAGAGAAUUUCUGUGUACUUGCACCUGGAGCUGAGAGUCAAAUGAACAUGGCCUCCCCUCCCCUCAAGCCUUGUUAUACAUAUGCGAACAUGUACAGCUCCCUACUUCAUAUAGAAAAUCUCUGUAAGAGGUUGCUUGCUGGCCUUCUCUUUUUGACAGAAGAAGAUAAAUACAGGGCUGCCUCCUCCAGUCUGGUUAAUAAAUAUUCACUGAGACACCUUACAGAGAGAUCUGAUCUGGAUUCUGGAGACAUCAGGCAGCCUGACUGAACCAUGGAGAUUGAGAUCAGCAGAAGGUGGUACUUCCUUGCUGUUUUUUGUGCGUCAGUUGAAAUUGCUCUUUCAGUUAGAUUUGAGGAAUUUGAAGAAGAUACCUGAAGCGGAAUACAGAGAAAUAGGGAGAAAACUGCAGAUGGGAAGGAGACAGGUUUUGUAUCUCUCCACUUGGUAUAAUCAGUUUAAGACAGAUCUUCUUUUCCGCUUGGGGA